UGGGGAAUUUUGGACAAUGGGCGAAAGCCUGAUCCAGCAAUGCCGCGUGUGUGAAGAAGGCCUUCGGGUUGUAAAGCACUUUUGUCCGGAAAGAAAUCCUUGGCUCUAAUACAGUCGGGGGAUGACGGUACCGGAAGAAUAAGCACCGGCUAACUACGUGCCAGCAGCCGCGGUAAUACGUAGGGUGCAAGCGUUAAUCGGAAUUACUGGGCGUAAAGCGUGCGCAGGCGGUUUGCUAAGACCGAUGUGAAAUCCCCGGGCUCAACCUGGGAACUGCAUUGGUGACUGGCAGGCUAGAGUAUGGCAGAGGGGGGUAGAAUUCCACGUGUAGCAGUGAAAUGCGUAGAGAUGUGGAGGAAUACCGAUGGCGAAGGCAGCCCCCUGGGCCAAUACUGACGCUCAUGCACGAAAGCGUGGGGAGCAAACAGGAUUAGAUACCCUGGUAGUCCACGCCCCAAACGAUGUCAACUAGUUGUUGGGGAUUCAUUUUCCUUAGUAACGUAGCUAACGCGUGAAGUUGACCGCCUGGGGAGUACGGUCGCAAGAUUAAAACUUAAAUGAAUUGACGGGGUCAUAGCUGUUUCCU
RNAcentral lists this ribosomal RNA (586 nucleotides) under uncultured bacterium. RNAcentral describes it as "partial 16S ribosomal RNA". It matches the Rfam family "Bacterial small subunit ribosomal RNA", at positions 355 to 1375 of the family's 1533-position model. The record is from RNAcentral.